AGAACCCUUGUUUUAAGAAGAAAAGAAAGCGGGAUCAAGGGAGAAGGAAGGCACGCCCUCUAGAGGCUCUCACCUGGCGAGCAGCUGCCUGUGCUCUUCCUGCAGGGUCUCCAGCUCGACCUGAAGAGCAGCGUACUUCAAGACUUGCUCGUGGAGCUCCCCUCGGACCUCGGCCAACUGGCUCUCGUAGGCACAAAGUAUGUUCUCCAGGCCGUUGUCCGGCGAAGCCAUCGUAGCUGCAGGGACCACACCGGAGGAGCGCACUCUUGCAAGCGGUGGCGGAACCCCCCCUCGUCCUGCGUUAAGCAGAGGGAAAAGAAUCCGGCCAGGGCUAUAUAUGCGCUCCCCUGCUUUGCUGGAAGGUAUGAAUUUAAGGCCAAGAACAUCAAAAAGAAGAAGGUCAACAUCAUUAUCUCGGUGGACGGAGUGAAGGUGAUCUUGCGCAAGAAGCAGAAGAGAAAGGAGUGGGCCUGGGACGAGGGGAAGAUGGUGGUCAUGCAGGAUCCUGUUUACAGGUUUCCAGCUGGCUGGGGCAGCAAUGGCUGACGAAGAAAACGGUCCCGAG
Zootoca vivipara (common lizard) is the source of this 565-nucleotide long non-coding RNA. RefSeq lists it as uncharacterized. The record is from RefSeq and is a predicted model, not a curated record. Lineage: Eukaryota; Metazoa; Chordata; Lepidosauria; Squamata; Lacertidae.